GUGCCAGCAGCCGCGGUAAGACAGAGGGUGCAAACGUUGCUCGGAAUUACUGGGCGUAAAGCGCGUGUAGGCGGGCCGGCAAGUCAGGUGUGAAAUCCCCGGGCUCAACUCGGGAACUGCACUUGAAACUGCCGGUCUGGAGUGCCGGAGAGGGUAGUGGAAUUCCUGGUGUAGAGGUGAAAUUCGUAGAUAUCAGGAGGAACACCGGUGGCGAAGGCGGCUACCUGGACGGUUACUGACGCUGAGACGCGAAAGCGUGGGGAGCAAACAGGAUUAGAAACCCCCGUAGUCC
Molecule: ribosomal RNA, 292 nt
Filed under: uncultured bacterium
Lineage: Bacteria
Description: partial 16S ribosomal RNA
Rfam family: Bacterial small subunit ribosomal RNA
Source: RNAcentral